This is a long non-coding RNA of Amborella trichopoda, 865 nucleotides long. RefSeq lists it as uncharacterized. Lineage: Eukaryota; Viridiplantae; Streptophyta; Magnoliopsida; Amborellales; Amborellaceae. The record is from RefSeq and is a predicted model, not a curated record.
CUCAGUACUACAUCUCUCUCUGUAUAUAUACUCACCACUACAUCUCUGUCUCUCUCUAUAGGUAGAUACUCUCACUACUAUAUCUCUGAACUCAACAUGAGAUUGGAUCUCCCUGCUCAGGAGAGAUGAUGCCGGCCAAUCUCUCUGACACAUGGCCGGCAUCAUCUCUUCUAGGCCGGGACCAUCCCAUCACACACACAUGAUGCCUCCGUGUGCACUCAUCCCACAAUGUGCAUGAUCCUACAUGUUGAUGCGGCCUCAAGCAAAGGGUGAUGAACCAGAUCAUCAUUUUCUGAGAAGAUACGAGAUGGAUUGGUUGCUAUAGAUUCAACACCUCCAAGACGUCUAUUAUUUCAGUCAUGCUGGCAAAGGAGGAGAGAGAUAGAAAGAGCAGCUGAGUGAUGCCUUUGCUCUGAAAGGCCUUGUCGGCUCAGUGAUGCCUAUGCUCUGAAAAGUAACAAAAGAGAAUCAUUUCAUUUGGGACCAAAGCCCUUUUUAUUUUUAUUUUUUGGGGUGAGCAUAGAUAUGUUUGACACGAGCUAACCUAAAUGCUGCUAGCCGCUAGCCUCCUUCAAAAGUGUUAAUUCAGUGGGGAUUUGAGUCCCUAUCAUUUGGUAAAAAUGGAGUCAAAUAUCUUAUCAUAGGGCUUGACAAUACUAUCGCGAAGACAGGGACCCUUCUCUAUUUUCCAAAGGUGGAUAGGGUAGAAGGUUCAACGUUUUUAUCCAAAAAUUGUACACAAUGAGAUCAUUAUUUACAACCAUCCGAAGUGAAACUUGUUAGCUUCGGUAUAUGACAAAGUUUAAGAAAAAAAUUUUGAAGCUUGAACUUGGUCAAUGGAAUAAAUGCAACUAUUUAAUUCUUA